AAGACCUUGCACUUUUGGAGCGGCCGAUGUCUGAUUAGCUAGUUGGUGGGGUAAAGGCCUACCAAGGCAUCGAUCAGUAGCUGGUCUGAGAGGACGACCAGCCACACUGGGACUGAGACACGGCCCAGACUCCUACGGGAGGCAGCAGUGGGGAAUUUUGGACAAUGGGGGCAACCCUGAUCUAGCCAUGCCGCGUGAGUGAAGAAGGCCUUCGGGUUGUAAAGCUCUUUCAGUCGGGAAGAAAAGGUUGCGACUAAUAAUCGUGAUCAAUGACGGUACCGAAAGAAGAAGCACCGGCUAACUACGUGCCAGCAGCCGCGGUAAUACGUAGGGUGCGAGCGUUAAUCGGAAUUACUGGGCGUAAAGGGUGCGCAGGCGGUUUUGUAAGUCAGAUGUGAAAUCCCCGGGCUUAACCUGGGAACU
RNAcentral lists this ribosomal RNA (423 nucleotides) under uncultured bacterium. Its description in RNAcentral is "bacterial SSU rRNA". It matches the Rfam family "Bacterial small subunit ribosomal RNA", at positions 207 to 622 of the family's 1533-position model. The record is from RNAcentral.